GACGAACGCUGGCGGCGUGCUUAACACAUGCAAGUCGAACGGUGAAGCGCCUUCCUCUUGGGUGGGCGGGGAGGGGGGGCGAACGGGGGGGUAACACGUGCGUAACCUGCCCUUUCCUUCGGGAUAACGUCAGGAAAGUGUGGCUAAUACGGGAUACUCUGGGUCUGUGGCAGGAUGGGUCUGGGAAAGCUUUUGUUUUGGUGGGGGAUGGGCUCGCGGCCUAUCAGUUUGUUGGUGGGGGGAUGGCCUAGCAAGGCGGUGAGGGGUAGCCGGCCUGGGAGGGUGGGCGGCCAUACUAGUGCUAAGACACCGCGCCUCCUCCUGCAGGAAGCAGCAGUGAAGAAUAGUGCACGAUGGGCGCAAGGCUGCUGCAGCGCCGCCGCGUGAGAGAUGGAGUCCUUCUGGUUGUGAACCUCUUUUGCCAGUGAAGCAGGCCUGCCUCGUUUGUGGGUGGGUUGACGGUAGCUAGAGAAGAAGCGCCGGCUAACUACGUG
Molecule: ribosomal RNA, 494 nt
Filed under: uncultured bacterium
Lineage: Bacteria
Description: partial 16S ribosomal RNA
Rfam family: Bacterial small subunit ribosomal RNA
Source: RNAcentral